This is a non-coding RNA of Dipodomys ordii (Ord's kangaroo rat), 69 nucleotides long. The record is from Rfam. NCBI's taxonomy places the organism in Eukaryota, Metazoa, Chordata, Mammalia, Rodentia, Heteromyidae.
GGGAAGAUGGCUCAGUGGUAGAGCGCUUGCUUGCAUGCAUGAGGUCCUGGGUUCGAUUCCUUAUUACCA